AUGGCCUCCAACCAGAACCAGGCCAGCUACCACGCCGGCGAGACCAAGGCCCGCACCGAGGAGAAGACCGGGCAGGUGAUGGGCGCGACCAAGGACAAGGCGGGGCAGACCACGGAGGCCACCAAGCAGAAGGCCGGACAGACCACCGAGGCCACCAAGCAGAAGGCCGGCGAGACGGCCGAGGCAACGAAGCAGAAGGCCGGUCAGGCCACGGAGGCCACGAAGCAGAAGGCCGGCGAGACGGCCGAGGCCACCAAGCAGAAGGCCGCCGAGGCCAAGGACAAGACUGCGCAGACGGCGCAGGCGGCCAAGGAGCGCGCCGCCGAGACCAAGGACCAGACCGGCAGCUACCUCGGCGAGAAGACAGAGAUGGCCAAGCAGAAGGCCGCCGAGACGACCGAGGCUGCCAAGCAGAAGGCCUCGGAGACGGCGCAGUACACCAAGGAGUCCGCCGUCGCCGGCAAGGACAAGACCGGCAGCGUCCUCCAGCAGGCCGGCGAGACGGUGGUGAACGCCGUGGUGGGCGCCAAGGACGCCGUGGCCAACACGCUGGGCAUGGGCGGCGACAACGCCACCAAGGACACCACCACCGGCGCCACCACGAAGGACACCACCACCACCACCACCAGGAAUCACUAG
Molecule: ribosomal RNA, 639 nt
Filed under: Triticum aestivum (bread wheat)
Lineage: Eukaryota; Viridiplantae; Streptophyta; Magnoliopsida; Poales; Poaceae
Description: partial small subunit ribosomal RNA
Source: RNAcentral